RNAcentral lists this ribosomal RNA (237 nucleotides) under uncultured bacterium. Its description in RNAcentral is "partial 16S ribosomal RNA". It matches the Rfam family "Bacterial small subunit ribosomal RNA", at positions 15 to 228 of the family's 1533-position model. The record is from RNAcentral.
GAUCCUGGCUCAGGACGAACGCUGGCGGCGUGCUUAACACAUGCAAGUCGAACGAAGAGCGAUGGAAGCUUGCUUCUAUCAAUCUUAGUGGCGAACGGGUGAGUAACGCGUAAUCAAACCUGCCCUUCAGAGGGGGACAACAGUUGGAAACGACUGCUAAUACCGCAUACGAUCUAAUCUCGGCAUCGAGGAUGGAUGAAAGGUGGCCUCUAUUUAUAAGCUAUCACUGAAGAGGGG